This 1261-nucleotide long non-coding RNA is filed under the name Lathyrus oleraceus (garden pea). RNAcentral describes it as "Pisum sativum (pea) long non-coding RNA (PSAT_LNC033639)". Lineage: Eukaryota; Viridiplantae; Streptophyta; Magnoliopsida; Fabales; Fabaceae. The record is from RNAcentral.
AUAAGAGUACUUACCGAUGCGUUGACUCUCCGGUGUUAACAAGUAUUGAAUCUUCUUUGCUCUGCUUUGCUUCAAUCCAAUCUUCCUUCUCCCCCUUCUGUUUCCCACUUCUACUGCAUUGAAUCGAGAGUGAGAGUUGAAGAACGAGAGUGAAGAGUUUAUGAGCUUGAUUCGUGACUUGUGAUUUUGAGUGCUCCUUCUGUGAAUUGUGAAGAGUUUGCUUUCUGUGUGUUGUGAAGUGUGUUCCAGAGUAGUGAAUGAGUGAAGAGUGAUUGCAUAUAUAGAGUUUUGGUUUGCAGUUUCAGUUAGAAAUGCACAUGAAAUUCAAUUUAAAUUCACAAGUUAGUUGAAAAUGUAGAAAAUCUGUUAUCUUUGAAAUGAGUUAGUGAAUUAGUUUUUGUGUGUUGCAUAUGUUGGUUAGUUAUUGUGAGCUUCAAAUUUGUUUUGUUAAUCGAAGUAUAUAGGGAUAAUAUGUUGCUAUGAAUUAUGCAGGGUGGAUGCUUUGUUUCUUUCACUUGUGUUUUCAGGGCUAUGUGUUUUGUAUUUUGUAGGGUGCUUCUGUUCAUUUUCUGUCAUGUAUGCAAUUGUUCAUUAUCUUAUAGUCUGUUAGAAUCAUUAGGGGCAAUGUUUUGGCCUUGUUAGAAUCAGUAGGAAACAUGUUUGUAGGUUUAAUGUAUUGCUUUGUUGAAGUCAGUUUGUAGAGUAAUUGAUAUGUUGUGGACUGUUGGUCAGUAGGUUACAAGGCAACUGUUUUGGUUUGUUGUGGUCAAGAGGUUGCACUUGUGUUGUGAAAUGUUAUGUAUUUAGAAUGCUAUUUUGAAUGGCUAAUGGAAUUGAAUUGAAUGGUUUAUGGAAUGUUAAUUGGGAAUGUGUAUAUGGAAUGUAUUGAAUGUGUGUUAUUGAAUUGUAUUGGAAUUGUAUAUGGCUUGAUCAUUUGAAUUGUAUUGAUUUAUAAUGGGAAUGUGUUGAAUUGUGUAUUGUGUUGAAUUGGAUUAUGGAUGGCUUCCUUGGUUGAAAUGUUUUGGACAAACAUGCUUAAAUACCUAAUUGUGGAAUGUGAAUUUUGUAGGUUUUGCAUUUGGCAUGGACACUUGAGGAUCAAGACUUGAAGACUUGAGGACUCUGGGGAAAAUGGUUGACUUUGGUCAACUAGUUGACCAAAAAGUCAAUAGUUGACCAAAGUCAAUUGUAGAUUAGAAACUAGAGUUUUGCAUUGUUAGAUAUAAAUGUAAUGAGUUAAUGAAAUGUAUGUAAAAGUGGU